UACGUAGGGGGCAAGCGUUAUCCGGAUUUACUGGGUGUAAAGGGAGCGUAGACGGAUGGACAAGUCUGAUGUGAAAGACUGGGGCUCAACCCCGGGACUGCAUUGGAAACUGCCCGUCUUGAGUGCCGGAGAGGUAAGCGGAAUUCCUAGUGUAGCGGUGAAAUGCGUAGAUAUUAGGAGGAACACCAGUGGCGAAGGCGGCUUACUGGACGGUAACUGACGUUGAGGCUCGAAAGCGUGGGUAGCAAACAGG
This 253-nucleotide ribosomal RNA is filed under the name Blautia luti. RNAcentral's name for it is "partial 16S ribosomal RNA". It matches the Rfam family "Bacterial small subunit ribosomal RNA", at positions 524 to 776 of the family's 1533-position model. The record is from RNAcentral. Lineage: Bacteria; Bacillati; Bacillota; Clostridia; Lachnospirales; Lachnospiraceae.